Molecule: ribosomal RNA, 589 nt
Filed under: uncultured bacterium
Lineage: Bacteria
Description: partial 16S ribosomal RNA
Rfam family: Bacterial small subunit ribosomal RNA
Source: RNAcentral
UGGGGAAUUUUGGACAAUGGGCGAAAGCCUGAUCCAGCAAUGCCGCGUGUGUGAAGAAGGCCUUCGGGUUGUAAAGCACUUUUGUCCGGAAAGAAAUCCUUGGCUCUAAUACAGUCGGGGGAUGACGGUACCGGAAGAAUAAGCACCGGCUAACUACGUGCCAGCAGCCGCGGUAAUACGUAGGGUGCAAGCGUUAAUCGGAAUUACUGGGCGUAAAGCGUGCGCAGGCGGUUUGCUAAGACCGAUGUGAAAAUCCCCGGGCGUCAACCUGGGAACUGCAUUGGUGACUGGCAGGCUAGAGUAUGGCAGAGGGGGGUAGAAUUCCACGUGUAGCAGUGAAAUGCGUAGAGAUGUGGAGGAAUACCGAUGGCGAAGGCAGCCCCCUCGGCAGUCAACUGACGCUCAUGCACGAAAAGCGUGGGGGGCAAACAGGAUUAAUACCCUGGUAGUCCACGCCCUAAAACGAUGUCAACUAGUUGUUGGGGGAUUCAUUUCCUUAGUAACGUAGCUAACGCGUGAAGUUGACCGCCUGAGGAGUACGGUCGCAAGAUUAAAACUUAAAUGAAUUGACGGGGUCAUAGCUGUUUCU